UGUCAGUGUCUGUGGGUCCUGGGCUAUGGGGGAGCUGGCUCCUUCCUGUGACCCCCACUGGCCUUUCCUUUGUCCUUGCCCCUUCUCCUUGCCUCUCUGUCCCUCCCCUGUUGGAGGCCCCGAGCCUGAUUUGGGUCUCUCUCCCCUUCUUUGUCCUCAGGGAGACCCAGGAGCAGCCAGGCCGGGAGCACCUGCACCUCCCGGAGUUCCCUCUUGUUCUCCUACACAGGGAAGCCCCAGUGCCUACUGUGGCUGUCUUCCCUUUGCUGACCUCUCGGCUGUGACCCAGCCCAGGACUCCUGGCUCUCUGGGAUUCCCACAUUCAGUAUUGACCUGACCCACCCCCCACACUGGGAAAUGGUGGUGGUCAUCCUUCCUCCCAGGCUGGGGCCAGAGUGAGUGAGGUUAUGGCUGCGAAGCUCCCAGCAGUGGACGAGCCCAUAGGCGAGUCCUCAGGGCAGACAGAGACUGUGCUGGGGUCUCCCCCGCGAUCCAGGACACCAGGACCUGCAGGAGCCCCCGCUGUGUGUUGCAGUGGAUUCAUUUCUGGGAGGGAGAGCGCAGUGGGGGCAAGAGGCGCAGAGUCACCACAGACUCCAAGAGUCUGGUGAAAGCAGGCCUGAGGCAGGCAACCUGCAGACUCGUUUAUUUCAGGUGCUACAACAGCUUAUAUAGCCAAGGCAGCCAAUCCAGUCAAGGGGAGGUCUAUGCCCUAACCAAUCACAGCCUGUUGCCAGGCAGUUUCUGAAGCCAUCCAAUCACAGCCUGUUGCCAGGCGGACUCCACUGUCAUGUGGUUUUUGAAACCAUCCAAUCACAGCCUGUUGCCCGCGGCCAUCUUGGCCUGGCCUUCUCAGUCCACCACACCUGCAGGCUCUGUAGGAGAGGUUUCGCCACCAGGUUGCACACUGUGGCCUGUGGGCUGGGCCAGGUCAGUUGUGUUUGCUGUGGGUUUUGUGUACAAAGUUUGUGGUGCUGACAAUCUGUCUCCUCUGUCUCCCUCUCUCUGUCCUCUCCAUCUAUUUGCCUUUGAAUAAGUAGUAAAUCCUUUUAAAACAAAAAGUGGAGCAGCUGGGACAUGUACAGACACUGGUACGGGACGCAGGCCCCGUGAGCCAUGGCUUUACAGCUCCGUCACAGCACCGCUGACUUGAGUGACAGAACAUUUGAUGUAGCGUCGCGAUGCCAGUGACGCUGCACCAUGGUUUGAGGCGAUCAUUCAGGGGGUGAAGAGAAAGGAGUGGAUACACUGAGUCUGCAAAAGGCAAAAUUAUGAAAGAUGCUAAGACUAGAAAUGAAAGGCUUCAAAAUAUCCUGUAGGGUGUAAUUUCAAAACAUUAAUAUCACACUCUUCAACCUAAGAAAGAAUGUCUCUUUCUUUUUUUUAAAGUGGAAAGGUUCCUGUGUAAACCAGCAGAGGGCAGCACCUGCUGCGGUUUCCUGCUCUGACAUCAGAAGGCACCAUUGUGACGUCAUGCCCGCUGCCUGCACAAAGCCUUGGCUGGGCCUGGGUUCUGUCAUUGGCCCAGGAAGUGCUGUCCCGGUGACCUGGGGCUGGGAACAGCUGCCUGUGUUUCCCUUGUUUUGUUUUUGUUCUUCAAGCUGCUGUUGUUUUAGUCAAAUUUGUUUUUUCUUUUUCCAUUUUGAUUAUUUUGUUCUUUUUUCUAUUUUGUUUAUUUUUUUCCUCCAGCAUUUAUAGUCUUUUUCCCUUUCUUAUUGAUUUUCCUUGGAUAUUUCAUUUCCAUUUGGAUUUUUUCUUCAUUUUUUCCAUUGGCUUUCCUCCCAGAGUUUGUGAUUGUUCUUUAUAUUUUCUUUAUAUUUUUUCCCAUUUUUGGGUUUCCGGUUUUUCACUUUGAGUUUUUUUCUCUAUUCCCCCCCAUUUUUAAAAUAAGACUGUGAGGCCAUCUGCUUUGGUCAUUAUACAGUUCAGGUUAUUUGGAUUUUUUCUUUAUGCUUUAUUAUUCAUUUAUUUUUGUUUUCUUAUUUUUAACUGUUUUGAUAGGGUUAGUCUCAGUUGUUAGUCUAGUUGAGUUCAUUUAGUUCCUGUUUUCUGUUGGUGAUGUGAGCUGAGUUCAUUUUGUGUUCUGAUUUCUGUUCAUUUAAUUUCUGUUUGUUUCAUGUUCGUGUGUUCUCAAGUAGUCAAAGCCGUGAGAGCUGAUCUGUGUCAGCUGCUGGCUCAGGGUCUCCCAGACGUCAGCCCUGCUGACCCUUCCUGGGGGAGCCCUGGAGAGGGAGAGGAAUCCGGAGGAAGAAUCGGAUCCUGCUGCUGCUGUUUGAACAGUCUCCGUGGUUGGUGUGAUGUAGUGGAUACAGUUCAUGUUUUCUGUUGGUGACGGGAGCAGAGUGAGUUUGUUCAUUUUUGUGUUGUGAUUUCUGUUCAUUUGAUUUCUGUUGUUGCAUUUUCAUUUGUGCACCACUCGUCUCCCUUCCUGGGAGCCCCGGGAGAGGGAGCAGAAUCCCGAGGCCAGAAUCGCAUCCUGGAUGGGGACUUCCCGGGGCGGGACUGACUGCGGUCCCCCAAGCCCUCUGUGUCCCCAGUGGCUCCCGCGUCCCUCAGCAGAGCGGGGCAGGAGGUGUCCAUGGCGGCUCCUGGGACCAAGGUAACUACUGCCCAGUAAGGGCGGCUCUACAAGGUUUAAGACCCAAAGAAGCCCAGAAACUCGAUCUGCACCAGCAAGAAGACUUCCUGUGGAAGGACCUCUUGAAGGGGAAUACGACUCCAGGACUUCCAUCUUGAGAAUCCUUCCAUCUGUGCUCUCCUGCGUAGAAUGUCCCUCAUCCUCGCUGCCCCAAGGACAGGACCAUGUAGCUUCUCUGGCUGCCCCCAGGUCACCACGAUCCUCCACAGCAAGAUGGACUGCAAGAUGCCCAGCUUAGAAUCCUCGCCCUUCCAGAAGAGGUGUUAAAUGUCCCUCGUCCUCGCUGCCACCAGGACAGGACCCCGUGGCUUCUCUGGCUCCCCACAGUCACCACCAUCGUCCUAAGGAAAAUGAACUCGGACACGCCCAGCCUCAGAAUCCUCGCCCUCCCAGAAGAGGUGUUGAAUGUCCCUCGUCCUCGCUGCCCCAAGGACAGGACCCUGUGGCUCCUCUGUCCCCGGGGAGCAGCUGCUGCCUGGGAAGAACCUCGUUGCCUCUGUUGGUGCCCAUGGAUUGCCCUGCACUACUGCCUCUGUGCCUACAUGUUAACAGAUUUUUAAGUUUAAAAGAAAUCCAUUAGGUCAAUAAAUAGUGGCUGGAGAAACAUGAA
Non-coding RNA from Oryctolagus cuniculus (rabbit), 3248 nucleotides. The record is from RefSeq and is a predicted model, not a curated record. Lineage: Eukaryota; Metazoa; Chordata; Mammalia; Lagomorpha; Leporidae.